AACGAACGCUGGCGGCAGGCUUAACACAUGCAAGUCGAGCGCCCCGCCAGGGGAGCGGCAGACGGGUGAGUAACGCGUGGGAAGCUACCCUUCACUACGGAACAAGCCCGGGAAACUGGAGCUAAUACCGUAUACGUCCUUCGGGAGAAAGAUUUAUCGGUGAUGGGUGAGCCCGCGUUGGAUUAGCUAGUUGGUGGGGUAAUGGCCUACCAAGGCGACGAUCCAUAGCUGGUCUGAGAGGAUGAUCAGCCACAUUGGGACUGAGACACGGCCCAAACUCCUACGGGAGGCAGCAGUGGGGAAUAUUGGACAAUGGGCGAAAGCCUGAUCCAGCCAUGCCGCGUGAGUGAUGAAGGCCCUAGGGCUGUAAAGCUCUUUCACCGGUGAAGAUAAUGACGGUAACCGGAGAAGAAGCCCCGGCUAACUUCGUGCCAGCAGCCGCAGUAA
This 447-nucleotide ribosomal RNA is filed under the name uncultured bacterium. Its description in RNAcentral is "partial 16S ribosomal RNA". It matches the Rfam family "Bacterial small subunit ribosomal RNA", at positions 29 to 523 of the family's 1533-position model. The record is from RNAcentral.